GUAGGAAAGGUGAGCUAUGGAAGAG
RNAcentral lists this non-coding RNA (25 nucleotides) under Cricetulus griseus (Chinese hamster). The record is from RNAcentral. Lineage: Eukaryota; Metazoa; Chordata; Mammalia; Rodentia; Cricetidae.